Molecule: ribosomal RNA, 515 nt
Filed under: uncultured Actinomycetes bacterium
Lineage: Bacteria; Bacillati; Actinomycetota; Actinomycetes
Description: bacterial SSU rRNA
Rfam family: Bacterial small subunit ribosomal RNA
Source: RNAcentral
UAGGGCGAAAGCCUGAUCCAGCAACGCCGCGUGAGGGAUGACGGCCUUCGGGUUGUAAACCUCUUUCAGCAGGGACGAAGCGCAAGUGACGGUACCUGCAGAAGAAGCACCGGCCAACUACGUGCCAGCAGCCGCGGUAAUACGUAGGGUGCGAGCGUUGUCCGGAAUUAUUGGGCGUAAAGGGCUCGUAGGCGGUUUGUCACGUCGGGAGUGAAAACUCGGGGCUUAACCCCGAGCCUGCUUCCGAUACGGGCUGACUAGAGGUAUGCAGGGGAGAACGGAAUUCCUGGUGUAGCGGUGAAAUGCGCAGAUAUCAGGAGGAACACCGGUGGCGAAGGCGGUUCUCUGGGCAUUACCUGACGCUGAGGAGCGAAAGUGUGGGGAGCGAACAGGAUUAGAUACCCUGGUAGUCCACACCGUAAACGUUGGGCGCUAGGUGUGGGACUCAUUCCACGAGUUCCGUGCCGCAGCUAACGCAUUAAGCGCCCCGCCUGGGGAGUACGGCCGCAAGGCUA